RNAcentral lists this ribosomal RNA (370 nucleotides) under uncultured organism. Its description in RNAcentral is "bacterial SSU rRNA". It matches the Rfam family "Bacterial small subunit ribosomal RNA", at positions 526 to 896 of the family's 1533-position model. The record is from RNAcentral.
CGUAGGGUGCAAGCGUUAAUCGGAAUUACUGGGCGUAAAGCGUGCGCAGGCGGUGAUGUAAGACAGGUGUGAAAUCCCCGGGCUUAACCUGGGAACUGCAUUUGUGACUGCAUCGCUGGAGUGCGGCAGAGGGGGAUGGAAUUCCGCGUGUAGCAGUGAAAUGCGUAGAUAUGCGGAGGAACACCGAUGGCGAAGGCAAUCCCCUGGGCCUGCGCUGACGCUCAUGCACGAAAGCGUGGGGAGCAAACAGGAUAAGAUACCCUGGUAGUCCACGCCCUAAACGAUGUCAACUGGUUGUUGGGUCUUCACUGACUCAGUAACAAAGCUAACGCGUGAAGUUGACCGCCUGGGGAGUACGGCCGCAAGGUUG